GAAGAGGUGGGAGAGGGAUGCUGGAAGCAGAGGGGCCAGUAAGGAGGUGGUUGCAACAGCCCAGGUGAGAAAGCUCAAGGCCCACGGAGGCGGCCAGAGUGGAAGUUAGGAAGAAGGAUCCAGGAGGAAUCUGCAAAGGGAGAACCACCAGGGCUUGGCCCUGAAUAAACUACACAGAAGGAGGGUCCAGGAGACAACCACAAUCUUGAGGUACCAACUCCAGGGUGCCUGUGCUUUGAUCCGCUUCUGGAACCAGUGCCUGUGAAGAUAAAAGGGCACCUGCACAUCAAGGGAAGAAUUUCCAACCAGAGUUCCCUCUGGAACCAGGGUGGAGCCUUGGGAAGCAACAGAAAAUAAAACCUAAGGCUGGACCCGGAAGCCAUCCAGGAGGAGCCGCGGGGUAGCAAACACCCGGGGAGACCAGAUGCCUGCCUGCACAGACCUUUCCAGACUGUGGCUCCUGAGCUGGCACCCCUCUUGUUCACUGCUUCUCCUCAACCCCAGCACAGUGCCUGAUGUUUAGCACACGUUCACUCAAUAAUUGACAAUGCCUGAAAUUCACAUUUUCAGUCCAACACCACUUUCUAUGUGCCAUGUGAAAAAUGCUGAUGGGGAUGCAGAGAUAACAAAAUGAGAGAUUAUUAGAGUGAAUAAGUCCUCAGGCCACGGAAUUUAGGUUCUGCUUCCCCCACUUAAUGGUCUCUGCAACCCCACAGAUAAGAAGGUUGGUCAUGAUGGGUCCUACCCCUCUAGGUUGUGAUCACUGCUGAGUCCAUUAAUAGGCAGUCUUUCACAAUCCUGCACAGGGUAUAUGUUCAAUAAAUGCUGGCUCUUGAUCAUUUUUAAUUGAGACAUGAAAUAUAUAAAAUUUUAUAUAAAAUAGAAUGCAUAGAUCUUAAGUGUUUCAUUUGAUGAGUUUUGGCAAUAUAAACCUGUAUAAACUGUAUAAACCUAUGUAGCCAUCAUCUAAGACAAGGUAUAGAUAUGAGACAUUUCCAAUCACCCCAGAAAGGUCCCUCACACUCCUUUCCAGUCAAUUUCUGUCUCCCUGCUCCCAGGGGCAACCGUUUUCUGAUUUCCAUCAUCUUAGAUGACCUUUGCUCAUUCUAGUACUUCAUAUAAAUGGAAUCAUAUAGUA
Molecule: long non-coding RNA, 1138 nt
Organism: Balaenoptera ricei (Rice's whale)
Lineage: Eukaryota; Metazoa; Chordata; Mammalia; Artiodactyla; Balaenopteridae
Exons: 2
Source: RefSeq, a predicted model, not a curated record